RNAcentral lists this ribosomal RNA (1450 nucleotides) under Bifidobacterium pseudocatenulatum. RNAcentral's name for it is "bacterial SSU rRNA". It matches the Rfam family "Bacterial small subunit ribosomal RNA". Lineage: Bacteria; Bacillati; Actinomycetota; Actinomycetes; Bifidobacteriales; Bifidobacteriaceae. The record is from RNAcentral.
GAUGAACGCUGGCGGCGUGCUUAACACAUGCAAGUCGAACGGGAUCCAUCAGGCUUUGCUUGGUGGUGAGAGUGGCGAACGGGUGAGUAAUGCGUGACCGACCUGCCCCAUACACCGGAAUAGCUCCUGGAAACGGGUGGUAAUGCCGGAUGCUCCGACUCCUCGCAUGGGGUGUCGGGAAAGAUUUCAUCGGUAUGGGAUGGGGUCGCGUCCUAUCAGGUAGUCGGCGGGGUAACGGCCCACCGAGCCUACGACGGGUAGCCGGCCUGAGAGGGCGACCGGCCACAUUGGGACUGAGAUACGGCCCAGACUCCUACGGGAGGCAGCAGUGGGGAAUAUUGCACAAUGGGCGCAAGCCUGAUGCAGCGACGCCGCGUGCGGGAUGACGGCCUUCGGGUUGUAAACCGCUUUUGAUCGGGAGCAAGCCUUCGGGUGAGUGUACCUUUCGAAUAAGCACCGGCUAACUACGUGCCAGCAGCCGCGGUAAUACGUAGGGUGCAAGCGUUAUCCGGAAUUAUUGGGCGUAAAGGGCUCGUAGGCGGUUCGUCGCGUCCGGUGUGAAAGUCCAUCGCUUAACGGUGGAUCUGCGCCGGGUACGGGCGGGCUGGAGUGCGGUAGGGGAGACUGGAAUUCCCGGUGUAACGGUGGAAUGUGUAGAUAUCGGGAAGAACACCAAUGGCGAAGGCAGGUCUCUGGGCCGUUACUGACGCUGAGGAGCGAAAGCGUGGGGAGCGAACAGGAUUAGAUACCCUGGUAGUCCACGCCGUAAACGGUGGAUGCUGGAUGUGGGGCCCGUUCCACGGGUUCCGUGUCGGAGCUAACGCGUUAAGCAUCCCGCCUGGGGAGUACGGCCGCAAGGCUAAAACUCAAAGAAAUUGACGGGGGCCCGCACAAGCGGCGGAGCAUGCGGAUUAAUUCGAUGCAACGCGAAGAACCUUACCUGGGCUUGACAUGUUCCCGACAGCCGUAGAGAUAUGGCCUCCCUUCGGGGCGGGUUCACAGGUGGUGCAUGGUCGUCGUCAGCUCGUGUCGUGAGAUGUUGGGUUAAGUCCCGCAACGAGCGCAACCCUCGCCCUGUGUUGCCAGCACGUCAUGGUGGGAACUCACGGGGGACCGCCGGGGUCAACUCGGAGGAAGGUGGGGAUGACGUCAGAUCAUCAUGCCCCUUACGUCCAGGGCUUCACGCAUGCUACAAUGGCCGGUACAACGGGAUGCGACACGGCGACGUGGAGCGGAUCCCUGAAAACCGGUCUCAGUUCGGAUUGGAGUCUGCAACCCGACUCCAUGAAGGCGGAGUCGCUAGUAAUCGCGGAUCAGCAACACCGCGGUGAAUGCGUUCCCGGGCCUUGUACACACCGCCCGUCAAGUCAUGAAAGUGGGUAGCACCCGAAGCCGGUGGCCUAACCCUUUGUGGAUGGAGCCGUCUAAGGUGAGACUCGUGAUUGGGACU